ACUCCUCUCACCAUGAACAGCACUCACCAGGGAAGCCAGAGUCAUGGCCUGAGGCUGAUGGAAAUUUCCAAAUUCAUAACCCCGCCAUCUAGCCGCUAGCCUCGAGAUGCCAAAGCUACUAGCACUUGGCGCGAGCGAUCCUGAACUUGGCGCAUCCACUUGGGACAAAAGAACCUUGGAAAUGGUGCAUACUCCACUGAGAAUGCCAGUUAGCCCCUUAGGCAGCAGCAUUAUUCUCUUGAGAUUUUCAUUUCCAUUUUCUUCCAUUUUCAUCCUCCUGCUAACACCUCUUGAUCUUUUCAAUUGGUCAUCUUUUACGAUUCUCUUUGCUGGCUUCAAUAACUUCCUUGACUCUCCUGC
Molecule: small RNA, 360 nt
Filed under: Histoplasma ohiense
Lineage: Eukaryota; Fungi; Ascomycota; Eurotiomycetes; Onygenales; Ajellomycetaceae
Description: hypothetical lncRNA
Source: RNAcentral